RNAcentral lists this unclassified non-coding RNA (376 nucleotides) under soil metagenome. RNAcentral's name for it is "partial contains 5.8S ribosomal RNA, internal transcribed spacer 2, and large subunit ribosomal RNA". The stretch from base 1 to 120 matches the Rfam family "5.8S ribosomal RNA", at positions 35 to 154 of the family's 154-position model. The record is from RNAcentral.
GAUGAAGAACGUAGCGAAAUGCGAUAAGUAAUGUGAAUUGCAGAAUUCAGUGAAUCAUCGAAUCUUUGAACGCAUCUUGUGCUCCUUGGUAUUCUGAGGAGCAUGCCUGUUUGAGUGUCAUUAAAUUCUCAACUACACUGACUUUGAAUUGGUGUGGCUUGGAUUUGGGGGGAAAAUUGUUGUGGGCUUUUUGUAUAGUCUGCUCCCCUGAAAUUGAUUAGCGGUACCUUUGUGGAACUGUCUACAGGUGUGAUAAUUAUCUACAUCUUAGACAUCUGCUGGAAUGCUGCUUUCUAAACCUUACUUGUAUUGACAAUCUUGACCUCAAAUCAGGUAGGACUACCCGCUGAACUUAAGCAUAUCAAUAAGCGGAGGA